Molecule: ribosomal RNA, 660 nt
Filed under: Microbacterium sp. AR-344
Lineage: Bacteria; Bacillati; Actinomycetota; Actinomycetes; Micrococcales; Microbacteriaceae
Description: bacterial SSU rRNA
Rfam family: Bacterial small subunit ribosomal RNA
Source: RNAcentral
UCAGUGGCGAACGGGUGAGUAACACGUGAGCAACCUGCCCCUGACUCUGGGAUAAGCGCUGGAAACGGCGUCUAAUACUGGAUAUGUGACGUGACCGCAUGGUCUGCGUCUGGAAAGAAUUUCGGUUGGGGAUGGGCUCGCGGCCUAUCAGCUUGUUGGUGAGGUAAUGGCUCACCAAGGCGUCGACGGGUAGCCGGCCUGAGAGGGUGACCGGCCACACUGGGACUGAGACACGGCCCAGACUCCUACGGGAGGCAGCAGUGGGGAAUAUUGCACAAUGGGCGCAAGCCUGAUGCAGCAACGCCGCGUGAGGGACGACGGCCUUCGGGUUGUAAACCUCUUUUAGCAGGGAAGAAGCGAAAGUGACGGUACCUGCAGAAAAAGCGCCGGCUAACUACGUGCCAGCAGCCGCGGUAAUACGUAGGGCGCAAGCGUUAUCCGGAAUUAUUGGGCGUAAAGAGCUCGUAGGCGGUUUGUCGCGUCUGCUGUGAAAUCCGGAGGCUCAACCUCCGGCCUGCAGUGGGUACGGGCAGACUAGAGUGCGGUAGGGGAGAUUGGAAUUCCUGGUGUAGCGGUGGAAUGCGCAGAUAUCAGGAGGAACACCGAUGGCGAAGGCAGAUCUCUGGGCCGUAACUGACGCUGAGGAGCGAAAGGGUGGGG